Molecule: ribosomal RNA, 429 nt
Filed under: Acidobacteriota bacterium
Lineage: Bacteria; Pseudomonadati; Acidobacteriota
Description: Acidobacteria bacterium partial 16S ribosomal RNA
Rfam family: Bacterial small subunit ribosomal RNA
Source: RNAcentral
UGGGGAAUUUUGGACAAUGGGGGAAACCCUGAUCCAGCCAUCCCGCGUGUGCGAUGAAGGCCUUCGGGUUGUAAAGCACUUUUGGCAGGAAAGAAACGUCAUGGGUUAAUACCCCGUGAAACUGACGGUACCUGCAGAAUAAGCACCGGCUAACUACGUGCCAGCAGCCGCGGUAAUACGUAGGGUGCAAGCGUUAAUCGGAAUUACUGGGCGUAAAGCGUGCGCAGGCGGUUCGGAAAGAAAGAUGUGAAAUCCCAGAGCUCAACUUUGGAACUGCAUUUUUAACUACCGGGCUAGAGUGUGUCAGAGGGAGGUGGAAUUCCGCGUGUAGCGGUGAAAUGCGUAGAUAUGCGGAGGAACACCGGUGGCGAAGGCAGCCUCCUGGGAUAACACUGACGCUCAUGCACGAAAGCGUGGGGAGCAAACAGG